This 292-nucleotide ribosomal RNA is filed under the name Pseudostaurosira sp. LKM-2011. RNAcentral describes it as "partial 28S ribosomal RNA". The record is from RNAcentral. Lineage: Eukaryota; Bacillariophyta; Fragilariophyceae; Staurosirales; Staurosiraceae.
GCGGAGGCAAGGAGAGCUCAACAUGCGAAUCGUGCUCGGCACCGAAUUGCUCGGUGUAGUCCUUGGAAAAGGGCAGCAGAGAGGGUGAGACUCCCGUGGUCGAGUGUUAUUGCAGCUCAAAGCGGGUGGUAAAUUCCAUCGACAUAUUUGGGACCGAUGAUAGGAAGUCAUACUUCUAGCCGCUGCGGCGGGGCUGUCUCGUCGCAGCUUUUGGGACGCGCAAACCGAGGUAGCGCCGGUCCCGAGUGAGGCUGGCAAAAUGGUUUUCUUUUCCCCGUCUUAAACACGGACG